AACUAACGCUGGCGGCGUGCCUAACACAUGCAAGUCGUACGAGAAAGCCGGCUUCGGCUGGUGAGUAAAGUGGCGCACGGGUGAGUAACGCGUGGAUAAUCUGCCCUUAAGUGUGGAAUAACGUACCGAAAGGGUGCGCUAAUACCGCAUAAUGCCUGGCAACACAAGUUGUCCGGCCAAAGAAGGCCUCUGUUUACAAGCUUUCGCUUCAGGAUGAGUCCGCGUACCAUUAGCUUGUUGGUGGGGUAAUGGCCUACCAAGGCUGCGAUGGUUAGCUGGUCUGAGAGGAUGAUCAGCCACACUGGAACUGAGACACGGUCCAGACUCCUACGGGAGGCAGCAGUGAGGAAUAUUGCGCAAUGGGGGCAACCCUGACGCAGCAACGCCGCGUGAGUGAGGAAGGUUUUCGGACUGUAAAGCUCUGUCGAGCGGGAAGAAGUGUACCAUGGCUAAUAUCCAUGAUAUUUGACGGUACCG
RNAcentral lists this ribosomal RNA (477 nucleotides) under uncultured bacterium. RNAcentral describes it as "bacterial SSU rRNA". It matches the Rfam family "Bacterial small subunit ribosomal RNA", at positions 29 to 480 of the family's 1533-position model. The record is from RNAcentral.